CAGCCUGAUGUAGCCAUGCCGCGUGUAUGAAGAAGGCCUUCGGGUUGUAAAGUACUUUCAGCAGUGAGGAAGGCGUUGUCGUUAAUAGCGGCCUCGUUUGACGUUAGCUGCAGAAGAAGCACCGGCUAACUCCGUGCCAGCAGCCGCGGUAAUACGGAGGGUGCGAGCGUUAAUCGGAAUUACUGGGCGUAAAGCGCAUGCAGGUGGUUUGUUAAGUCAGAUGUGAAAGCCCGGGGCUCAACCUCGGAAUAGCAUUUGAAACUGGCAGACUAGAGUACUGUAGAGGGGGGUAGAAUUUCAGGUGUAGCGGUGAAAUGCGUAGAGAUCUGAAGGAAUACCGGUGGCGAAGGCGGCCCCCUGGACAGAUACUGACACUCAGAUGCGAAAGCGUGGGGAGCAAACAGGAUUAGAUACCCUGGUAGUCCACGCCGUAAACGAUGUCUACUUGGAGGUUGUGGCCUUGAGCCGUGGCUUUCGGAGCUAACGCGUUAAGUAGACCGCCUGGGGAGUACGGUCGCAAGAUUAAAACUCAAAUGAAUUGACGGGGGCCCGCACAAGCGGUGGAGCAUGUGGUUUAAUUCGAUGCAACGCGAAGAACCUUACCUACUCUUGACAUCCAGAGAACUUUCCAGAGAUGGAUUGGUGCCUUCGGGAACUCUGAGACAGGUGCUGCAUGGCUGUCGUCAGCUCGUGUUGUGAAAUGUUGGGUUAAGUCCCGCAACGAGCGCAACCCUUAUCCUUGUUUGCCAGCGAGUAAUGUCGGGAACUCCAGGGAGACUGCCGGUGAUAAACCGGAGGAAGGUGGGGACGACGUCAAGUCAUCAUGGCCCUUACGAGUAGGGCUACACACGUGCUACAAUGGCGCAUACAGAGG
RNAcentral lists this ribosomal RNA (874 nucleotides) under uncultured bacterium. RNAcentral's name for it is "bacterial SSU rRNA". It matches the Rfam family "Bacterial small subunit ribosomal RNA", at positions 379 to 1245 of the family's 1533-position model. The record is from RNAcentral.